This 253-nucleotide ribosomal RNA is filed under the name uncultured bacterium. RNAcentral describes it as "partial 16S ribosomal RNA". It matches the Rfam family "Bacterial small subunit ribosomal RNA", at positions 524 to 776 of the family's 1533-position model. The record is from RNAcentral.
UACGUAGGUGGCAAGCGUUGUCCGGAUUUACUGGGCGUAAAGAGCGCGCAGGCGGUUGGAUAAGUCGAAUGUGAAAGCCCCCGGCUCAACUGGGGAGGGUCAUUCGAUACUGUCCAACUUGAAGGCAGGAGAGGGCAGCAGAAUUCCCGGUGUAGUGGUGAAAUGCGUAGAUAUAGGGGAGAACACUCGUGGCGAAGGCGGCCAGCUGGACCAGCCCUGACGCUGAGGCGCGACAGCGUGGGGAGCAAACAGG